Non-coding RNA from Schistosoma curassoni, 45 nucleotides. The record is from Rfam. Lineage: Eukaryota; Metazoa; Platyhelminthes; Trematoda; Strigeidida; Schistosomatidae.
AUCCAGCUGACGAGUCCUGAAUAGGACGAAACGCGCGUCCUGGAU